RNAcentral lists this long non-coding RNA (442 nucleotides) under Nicotiana benthamiana. RNAcentral's name for it is "long non-coding RNA (NBEN_LNC014848)". The record is from RNAcentral. Lineage: Eukaryota; Viridiplantae; Streptophyta; Magnoliopsida; Solanales; Solanaceae.
AGAAUCUUGUGGCUCUGAUACCACUUUGUUGGAAGACGAUUGCUAUUAAUAUUUGGAGGGAGGCUUUUAGGCUAAGGGAAUUAUGGAAGAGUAGAAAGAUUUUGGAGAAGAGAAACUUUUAUUACUCAAACUUGUUUUUGAUUUUUUUGGCUUAUUAUGUUGUGUGUUGUGUGUUAUACAAAUGCCAAAUGCCAUCCCAUAUUUAUAGGGGAGGCUUGCCAAGCUCUAGAGAGUCUAGAGAGUUCUAUUUUCUAGCUAGGUACAUGUGCUAGAAUUCUAUGGAGAAAUCUAGAGUAUUUCCAAGCUCAAAUGGACUAGAGUUCUCUAGAAUGUUCCGGAAUCUAGAGUUGCCUAGAAUGUUCCGGAAUUGGGCUAUUUAUUUUUCAUAAUUUCUUAAGCCCAAAUAAUUAUAACAAAAUCAAGUUUAUUUUAUUUUCAACAU